UACGUAGGGUGCAAGCGUUAAUCGGAAUUAUUGGGCGUAAAGGGUGCGCAGGCGGAUGUAUAAGUCAGAUGUGAAAUCCCCGGGCUUAACCUGGGAAUUGCGUUUGAAACUAUAUGACUAGAGUGUGAUAGAGGGGAGUGGAAUUCCAUGUGUAGCAGUGAAAUGCGUAGAGAUGUGGAAGAACACCGAUGGCGAAGGCAGCUCCCUGGAUUAACACUGACGCUCAUGCACGAAAGCGUGGGGAGCAAACAGGAUUAGAAACCCCUGUAGUCC
Molecule: ribosomal RNA, 273 nt
Filed under: uncultured bacterium
Lineage: Bacteria
Description: partial 16S ribosomal RNA
Rfam family: Bacterial small subunit ribosomal RNA
Source: RNAcentral